GUGCUUACACAUGCAGUCGCACGAUGAAGCCCAGCUUGCUGGGUGGAUUAGUGGCGAACGGGUGAGUUUUACGUGCGUAACCUGCCCUUAACUCUGGGAUAAGCCUGGCAUUCUGGGUCUAAUACCGGAUAGGAGCGUCCACCGCAUGGUGGGUGUUGGAAAGAUUUAUCGGUUUUGGAUGGACUCGCGGCCUAUCAGCUUGUUGGUGAGGUAAUGGCUCACCAAGGCGACGACGGGUAGCCGGCCUGAGAGGGUGACCGGCCACACUGGGACUGAGACACGGCCCAGACUCCUACGGGAGGCAGCAGUGGGGAAUAUUGCACAAUGGGCGCAAGCCUGAUGCAGCGACGCCGCGUGAGGGAUGACGGCCUUCGGGUUGUAAACCUCUUUCAGUAGGGAAGAAGCGAAAGUGACGGUACCUGCAGAAGAAGCACCGGCUAACUACGUGCCAGCAGCCGCGGUAAUACG
This 468-nucleotide ribosomal RNA is filed under the name bacterium FS59(2011). RNAcentral's name for it is "bacterial SSU rRNA". It matches the Rfam family "Bacterial small subunit ribosomal RNA", at positions 44 to 527 of the family's 1533-position model. The record is from RNAcentral.